GACGAACGCUGGCGGCGUGCUUAACACAUGCAAGUCGAACGGAAAGGCCCUGCUUUUGUGGGGUGCUCGAGUGGCGAACGGGUGAGUAACACGUGAGUAACCUGCCCUUGACUUUGGGAUAACUUCAGGAAACUGGGGCUAAUACCGGAUAGGAGCUCCUGCUGCAUGGUGGGGGUUGGAAAGUUUCGGCGGUUGGGGAUGGACUCGCGGCUUAUCAGCUUGUUGGUGGGGUAGUGGCUUACCAAGGCUUUGACGGGUAGCCGGCCUGAGAGGGUGACCGGCCACAUUGGGAAUGGGGUACGGGCCAGACUCCUACGGGGGGCAGGAGUGGGGAAAAUUGCACAAAGGGGGGAAGCCUGAUGCAGGAACGCCGCGUGCGGGAUGAAGGCCUUCGGGUUGUAAACCGCUUUCGGCUGUGAAGAAGGGGUAGUGACGGUAAUGGGUAAAGAAGCAACGGCUAACUACGUG
RNAcentral lists this ribosomal RNA (468 nucleotides) under uncultured bacterium. RNAcentral describes it as "partial 16S ribosomal RNA". It matches the Rfam family "Bacterial small subunit ribosomal RNA", at positions 28 to 507 of the family's 1533-position model. The record is from RNAcentral.